Molecule: ribosomal RNA, 318 nt
Filed under: Triticum aestivum (bread wheat)
Lineage: Eukaryota; Viridiplantae; Streptophyta; Magnoliopsida; Poales; Poaceae
Description: partial small subunit ribosomal RNA
Source: RNAcentral
AUGCCGGACACUGCACCAAUUAAAGUGGCUGCAGAAGCAGAAUGGCGCAACCAACAGUACGGUGAGUACCACAGUACAGUUAUGCGACAUGCAUGUCCAAGUCUGCUGGUUCGCGCCACAAUUUGUGUUGCAAACCUCCAAUAUCUGGACCGUUUAACGCGUCGGAGAGAAACAGUAGGCAAGCAGCAAGCAGCUCCGUCAAGGGGUGCUCCUGUGCUGCAUGCAUGCUGGCCGAUGCUAGACAUGUGCAUGUGCACGCUGGCCAGAGCAAUCGAGGCCCCGGCCGCGCGUGACGCUCCGUACGUCGGUGUGCACUGA